Molecule: ribosomal RNA, 270 nt
Filed under: uncultured bacterium
Lineage: Bacteria
Description: partial 16S ribosomal RNA
Rfam family: Bacterial small subunit ribosomal RNA
Source: RNAcentral
UUUGAUGGCGACCGGCGCACGGGUGAGUAACACGUAUCCAACCUGCCGAUGACUCGGGGAUAGCCUUUCGAAAGAAAGAUUAAUACCCGAUGGCAUAGUUCUUCCGCAUGGUGGAACUAUUAAAGAAUUUCGGUCAUCGAUGGGGAUGCGUUCCAUUAGGUUGUUGGCGGGGUAACGGCCCACCAAGCCUUCGAUGGAUAGGGGUUCUGAGAGGAAGGACCCCCACAUUGGAACUGAGACACGGUCCAAACUCCUACGGGAGGCAGCAUG